AGAUUGAACGCUGGCGGCAGGCCUAACACAUGCAAGUCGAGCGGCAGCACGGGUACUUGUACCUGGUGGCGAGCGGCGGACGGGUGAGUAAUGCCUAGGAAUCUGCCUGGUAGUGGGGGAUAACGCUCGGAAACGGACGCUAAUACCGCAUACGACCUACGGGAGAAAGCAGGGGACCUUCGGGCCUUGCGCUAUCAGAUGAGCCUAGGUCGGAUUAGCUAGUUGGUGAGGUAAUGGCUCACCAAGGCGACGAUCCGUAACUGGUCUGAGAGGAUGAUCAGUCACACUGGAACUGAGACACGGUCCAGACUCCUACGGGAGGCAGCAGUGGGGAAUAUUGGACAAUGGGCGAAAGCCUGAUCCAGCCAUGCCGCGUGUGUGAAGAAGGUCUUCGGAUUGUAAAGCACUUUAAGUUGGAGGAAGGCAGUUACCUAAUACGUAUCUGUUUGACGUUACCGACAGAAUAAGCACCGGACUAACUCUGU
Molecule: ribosomal RNA, 485 nt
Filed under: uncultured soil bacterium
Lineage: Bacteria
Description: bacterial SSU rRNA
Rfam family: Bacterial small subunit ribosomal RNA
Source: RNAcentral